GCUGACAUUCCUCCCAGCAACAGAGUCUACCCUUAUUUUCCCUUAAAUCUGGAUUCUUAAUAACCUAGAGUAUGAUGGAAGUUGUGUUAAGGUGACCUUGAAGGUCAAGUCCUAAAAAUGUCAGCUUCAACUUCAUUCCACCAGAGCCCUGAAAGGCCCACCAAGGCACGGUGUUCUGAGGCUUCUGAGCUUAGAUGCUAUGGAAAGGCUGAGGCACUAACAAGGUUAAGAGCACCUUUCCAGCCCAGAAAAGUGAAAAGCUUAAGACCUUCAUAAGACCCACAGCCAGAAGAAUCCAGCAGAUACUCCUGAAUUUCAAACCCAAAGGAAGUUUGAGAUAUUAUACCAUUAAAUGUGAGCACUGUUCUACAACAAUAACUAACACACUGUUAAUACUGUAAAGUACCAUAGCCACCACGUGGUUGGGCUAAUAAGACCCCUUACUCUACCUUUUAAUACUUUGGUCCAAUUUUGCACCUGCAAUUCUUCCUUUUCUCUCUGUUGCAUCGAUGAGAUAAGGUCAUGAUAUAAAGUUAACAUGCAACUAGAUGUAUCUGGCUUCUAAAUUUAGUUCACUAACCUUAGGAUAUGGAAGAACAUUUCUUUUUCUCACUUGAAAACUUAGAAAUUUCUUAUCUGAAGUCACCAUCUGUAUUAGAGCUUGUUUAAAACUACCCAGAUACUACUAUACCUAACAACCUCAAGGUAAAAUGCAUUCACCUAGUUCGGUUUUCAAGCAGCAACUUUUUUUGAAAACCAAAACCAAAAUUAAAUUUCCUGUAAUUUAUAAACUCAGAUUUGUGUGAAGAGAAUUAGGUUAUCAAAUAUCAAUUGUUUUGGUCCUUUACUAUCAUUCUGGGAAUUAGCCUAAUUUGGAUUACCUUCUUUUACUAAAAAAGGAUCAACAAAUAUAUUAGCAUUAAAAAUAGUACAGGUUGGGGCUGGGUCUGUGACUCAGUGGUAGAGCACUUGCCUAACAUGUGAGGUACUAGGUUCAAUUCUUAAUACCACAUAUAAAUAAAGAAAGAAAAAAAAUAAAGGUCCAUUAACAUCUACAAAAAAAA
This 1064-nucleotide long non-coding RNA is filed under the name Marmota monax (woodchuck). The record is from RNAcentral. Lineage: Eukaryota; Metazoa; Chordata; Mammalia; Rodentia; Sciuridae.